AUUGAACGCUGGCGGCAUGCCUUACACAUGCAAGUCGAACGGCAGCACGGGAGCAAUCCUGGUGGCGAGUGGCGAACGGGUGAGUAAUAUAUCGGAACGUGCCCAGUCGUGGGGAUAACGUAGCGAAAGCUACGCUAAUACCGCAUACGAUCUAUGGAUGAAAGCGGGGGAUCGCAAGACCUCGCGCGAUUGGAGCGGCCGAUAUCAGAUUAGGUAGUUGGUGAGGUAAAGGCUCGCCAAGCCGACGAUCUGUAGCUGGUCUGAGAGGACGACCAGCCACACUGGGACUGAGACACGGCCCAGACUCCUACGGGAGGCAGCAGUGGGGAAUUUUGGACAAUGGGCGGCAAGCCUGAUCCAGCAAUGCCGCGUGCAGGAUGAAGGCC
Molecule: ribosomal RNA, 386 nt
Filed under: uncultured bacterium
Lineage: Bacteria
Description: bacterial SSU rRNA
Rfam family: Bacterial small subunit ribosomal RNA
Source: RNAcentral